Long non-coding RNA from Aplysia californica (California sea hare), 860 nucleotides. RefSeq lists it as uncharacterized. Lineage: Eukaryota; Metazoa; Mollusca; Gastropoda; Aplysiida; Aplysiidae. The transcript is spliced from 3 exons. The record is from RefSeq and is a predicted model, not a curated record.
CUACACUAAAAAUUGGAAAAAAGCGUAAAAAUGUCGUCAGAUGAGUCUGAUAUUGACCUGAAUGACUCAAUGGAUGAAGAAUCUGAUGUCUGGGUACCAGAAUCGGACGAUGAGGGUCCCGAGGACGGAAACCAAGCCCCGACUUUGACCAAUCGUGAUCAAAACAACAGAAACUAGCCACAACCUCCACGUAACCAGUCUUACGCGGACCAGGAUGAUGGCCCACCAGAACCACUGCCUCAGUUUAGGCCUGCCGUGCUGUUGGCCUGCAUCUCCCUGACUGUAUCACCCGACAGGACAUCCGAAGUUUUCUGACGCCAGCAUCCUUCUUCAAACUGUUUUUCUGCACUGAGAUGGUGAAUCAGAUCUGCCUCUUCUCUAAUGAGUACGCCCCGAUGACAGGACCCAACAAACCAUCUGUCUUUCGCUCCUGGGAGGAUCUUGACUCUGAGAUGUUUCUCAAGUUCGUUGGACUGCUAAUGUAUAUGUCUAUUGUUCAUCUACCAAAUUUAGAGCUGUACUGGUCUACGAAAACCUGUUUUCAUGGACUAUGGGCAAGGGCAUACAUGAGCAAACUAAAUUUCAAACAAAUUCAGUCUUUUUUUAAAUUAUGCAAUCCAGACACUGAGCGAGAUACUGAUAAGCUACGGAAAGUUAGGUUUGUGCACUAUUUUUUGAGUAUGAAAUGUAUGAAGUAUUGGCAACCUAACCAGUGUGUUAGCAUAGAUGAGAGGAUGGUUCAAAAUAAGGGGAGAUACAGUUUCAGGCAAUACAUAAAGGAUAACUAAAUGGGGGAUGAAGUUACGGGUGGUUGCAGAUUCGAUGAAUGGGUACACAUACAAUUAUGAAGUUUACACAGG